CCUGUUGUUUAAACUUUUAAGAUGAUCCCUAACAGGAUUAAAAUCCUCAGCAAGCAGGCAGAGGCAAGCUAUUCAGAAAAACAAGGUCAUGCUGCAGGGGUGUGUGUGUGUGUGGAUUUUUUUGGGUAAGCACAGGAAUCAACAAAGAGAUGUUAUAUAACUUCUAUUUAUAUCCUACUUGCUCACUAGCUGCAGGCAUACAAGAGUAGCUGAGAAGGGAAUUUAAUGAGCUCUCGGGGCUUGCUCACCUUCCAGAGCUGGUAGGAGCCAGCUUGUUUUUGAAGUGCGUCAGCAAAUGAAACUGGUGGUGGGUGGGUGGUUUGGGUAGGUGGACUGACUUGUUGCUAUGGUUUUCUUUAAUUCCCCUGUCUCUCAA
RNAcentral lists this small RNA (376 nucleotides) under Chelonoidis abingdonii (Abingdon island giant tortoise). RNAcentral describes it as "sRNA (ENSCABG00000017518.1)". The record is from RNAcentral. Lineage: Eukaryota; Metazoa; Chordata; Testudines; Testudinidae.